UGUGCAGAGCAACAAGAACAUGUCUUGACUUGUACCAGCUUGUCAAAAGGGAGUUAAGGCUUGUGGUCAGCACCAGUAACUGUAUUUGCAAUUUCAUCCAAAUGACCUGCGAGAGACGACAGCAGCAUACCAUCCACUGUAGAAUAUAUGGAUACUAGGACAAACUGAACUGAAGGUCUCAGCGCUGGAUUUCCCUUCUCUGGAAGAUCCCUGACUUCACCACGGCUCAUUGGUCUACUGAUGACAUGACCCUGAGAAAAAAGAAACGUAUCCAGAUGUCCUGGAGAAGAUGAGAGACCCUGUGUCAGCAGUGAGGUGUGUUUGCUCAGACUCCGAUAACGCCGAGGACAAAACGGAAUACUGUAUCAGCAGUUGCUGUAAAAAGGCUUCACUGGUGCCUCUCGCUCAGACUGAAGAGCAGGGAACGAAGAUAAUAUCACAUUCACUACUUAGCCCUUUCCUGACCUCAACCUGUUUUCGUAGGCAAAUGCUUAUUUCAAGAGCUAACAAGCAUGUGUGCGGAUGGCCGGCGCUCCAUCAUGUGGACUUUUAUUACAUGCCAUAACUUGUCACCAAACAGCACUGCAGUAAAAAAAAAAAUAGCUGGGUCACAGUAUCCCUUAUUGCUUCAGUAUGGGAUUUCGAGCGUCUGAUGACAGUGACUCAGCCUGGUGUGGUGCGCAGCUAAUGCUACAAACGCCUCUAGCGCAUUUGAAAACCCUGAUCUGAAUUUACUGUCCCCGGCAGCCACACAACUGUUUUUUCAGCAAUCUCUUUCACUUUUUAUUUAUUUUUAAUUGUGCCUCCACUUUUUCUUCCUCACUCUUCCGCUCUCCCCCGCACACGUUAACUCUCCCACUCUCUUCUAAGCCUUCUUGCUAAGCGAGCAGAGGCCCUUCUUCUCUGGCAGAGCCCUUAGGAGAGAAGCUGCCUGCCCAAAAUAGCUGCACUGUGGGGAAUACCAACAGAUAGGGCCUUCACACUGCUUGUGUAGGGAAACAACAAAUCAGGGACCGGGCUGACCAACCCCCACCACCACCACCCCCCAUCAUCUCACUCUGUACAACAUAUGACAAACACAUGCUAACGCCUGUGCUCUUUCACACACAUCCAUUCUCACAGUUUCUUACAGGCACAUAUAGGCUGAACCCUUUGAACCUAGAUUCCGCGUUUAUUUGAGAAUAAGUGAGUCACGGCUCUAUUUGCGGUGUAGAGGGUGAGCAUAGUUCAUUUAGUAAUAAAGGAAGGUGUGCUUUCCCCUCCCUGAGGUGUGGCAGCCUCUCAAACUCUCUCUCUCUUUCUCUUUUUAUUUUUUGUAAGAGUUGAGUCUUUCUUGUUCAGAUGUAAGCUUUAGAGGCUUGUUUACAUUGGAGGGACAGCAUUAGCAAGCUAGCGUUACUGUCGUAUACUGUAGUGUAGAGAGAGCUCUACGUCAGUGUAUCCUCAGGGUUUGUUUUUAUCUUGUGAUUAUUGAAGGAGACCUCUCACCUACCCUCAUCUCUUGGAAAGCAAAAGCAGAACAAAGACUUGUUCUUUAAGGGGAAAUCUACCGCUGUCCCCGGCUGUCAUACAAGUACUGUGUGUGGACAUUCCAUGAGCAGAGUAUUAAAGUGUCCAGAGCUCACCCGGCCGCAGGAGACAGGAGAGUUAUACGAGGAGCCUUUACAGUCACCGACAGCUGAUAGUGAGAGAUACUGAAGUGAUGGAAGAGAAGAGAGCAAGUGAGGGAUGAGGGCCGCUGCUGUGAGUGGUUCUUUGGCAGUGUCUUAGCUGGUUGUUGUGUGGAGUGAGAACGAAGCAAUCAGCAAGUAUACUGCCGCAGAAACUCGUCACCUUGGGAGGCCCAUCCAAAUGACCCCACUCACGCACUCAGCUGCCCACCCGCGCUCAGAGGCUGGUGAGAGAGACGACUAAAGAGAAUUAAUUUCUGAACUUCUCUUCCCAUUCAUUCUUCUUUUAAUUGUGAGUGUCAGCUUUUGUUUAUUGGCAACGCUGCUUGAGCACUCACAGCGACUUGAGAAUUUCACGUGAAAGACUGAUUCAUGCUUAUGGUAUGUUGGAUCUUAUUUUCCGUGACAUUGUAGUCAUAGUUUAGAUCAGUCCAUUUGUUUUCUUUCUUUCAUUUCCAUGAGAUCUGGAGUGAUUCAGUCAAGUGUUAUUGUGAAAAUCAGCUGACUAGAUUUCGCAGUUUCAGUAUUGCCAUGACAUGGUGUGGCCUGUUUAUAUUUGGCCUACGUAGCUUGCAGUCCUGUGACAUAUUCAUAUUGUGUUAUGGUGUGUUUAUUUUGAAAUUUGCUAAUGGACCAAAACAUUAAUCCUAAUUAUUAACCAAAAAUACUUUUCAUUCUGGUUUGGAAAAAAAAAUGUAGAAAAAAGUAUUGGGAAAUGGAAUAUAUAAAUAUAUGUGCGUGUGUGUGUGUGUUUAAUAACAAUAUAAAAUGUUUUGUUAUAUUUGUAUAAAUUAAUGUUUAUUUGAAACUUUUUUUUGUAGACUGUAUUUUAAUAGUAAUUAAAUAUGAAUGCAUUUUUUUCCAAAUAACAGUAAAAACAAAAUAAGAGUUUUUCAAAUGUUGUCGUUAUUGUCAUGUUUUAUUUCUCUAUUUCUAAUGCAUGUUUAGUCUUUAAAGUGGUUUUAAGUUGAGUUUCAUUUUCAGGGAAUUUCAUUAGUGUUGGGGUUUCAGUUAUUAAUCAUCAAAAGGGCAGUUUGUUCAGGUGAAUGAAAUGCCUGUAACUCACUUGAGGUUUCGAUUUAAUAACAUCAGUGUGGCAAUAAGUUUGAACUUGUCUGUACUCUGAAAAGCUGGAAAUCAAUUUAGUAAGUUCUUUUACAAUGUAUUAAAGCACUUUGUUUUAAAUAAUAUCCUAAAAGUGUGAUUAUAAUGCCAUGCAGGGUGUAGCCUUCACAAACUUAAUGCAAAGGUAUGUUGAACACCUUACACACGUAUAUAUUUUAAAUGAGCAAUUAUAGCAAAUUAAUCCAAAUUAACUGUAUGAAUAAUCUCAGAUAUUUGUCAGUUUAGUCACUUGCCUAGAUUGGAUCUCAACUGACAAUGUCAAUUCGUUUUUUUUAUGCACAGAAUGCAUGAUAAAUGCCUGGGGCAAACUCCCAACAAACAUCUCUAGUUGUUUCAGUUGUAUGAUUUACGCAGACAGUAUUUUGCAUUUUAUUCUAGUUUAUCUCUGGAGUCUGGAUUGUAUUAUGUCAGUGGCUCCGGAGUUUAAUUUUCAUGUAUUAUCUAUGAUAACGGAUCCAAACUGAACUUAAAAUUAUCAGUAUAUAAAAUAGAUGCUUUUACUUACAGUAGUCCUCCAUAAAUGUAUUAUACCUUUAAUUACACAACAUAUAAUACAAUAAAAUGUGUUACACAACAUAAUAAUAAACAAUACAUUUCAAAUAUAAUGA
Long non-coding RNA from Carassius gibelio (silver crucian carp), 3403 nucleotides. RefSeq lists it as uncharacterized. Lineage: Eukaryota; Metazoa; Chordata; Actinopteri; Cypriniformes; Cyprinidae. The record is from RefSeq and is a predicted model, not a curated record. The transcript is spliced from 5 exons.